AAUUUGGGGGGUUCCUAUACAUGCAAGUCGAGCGAUCUUGAGGAGCUUGCUCCUUAAGAUUAGCGGCGGAUGGGGAGAACACGUGGGCAACCUGCUUGUAAGACUGGGAUAAAAGGGGAAACCGGAGCUAAUACCGGAUAAUCCUUUUCCUCUCAUGAGGGAAAGCUGAAAGACGGUUUCGGCUGUCACUUACAGAUGGGCCCGCGGCGCAUUAGCUAGUUGGUGAGGUAACGGCUCACCAAGGCGACGAUGCGUAGCCGACCUGAGAGGGUGAUCGGCCACACUGGGACUGAGACACGGCCCAGACUCCUACGGGAGGCAGCAGUAGGGAAUCUUCCGCAAUGGACGAAAGUCUGACGGAGCAACGCCGCGUGAGCGAUGAAGGCCUUCGGGUCGUAAAGCUCUGUUGUUUUUAUUAUC
This 420-nucleotide ribosomal RNA is filed under the name uncultured bacterium. Its description in RNAcentral is "bacterial SSU rRNA". It matches the Rfam family "Bacterial small subunit ribosomal RNA", at positions 37 to 450 of the family's 1533-position model. The record is from RNAcentral.